Molecule: transfer RNA, 64 nt
Filed under: Apolygus lucorum
Lineage: Eukaryota; Metazoa; Arthropoda; Insecta; Hemiptera; Miridae
Description: tRNA-Glu
Rfam family: tRNA
About the family: Transfer RNA (tRNA) molecules are approximately 80 nucleotides in length. Their secondary structure includes four short double-helical elements and three loops (D, anti-codon, and T loops).
Source: RNAcentral
AUUUAUAUAGUUUAUUUAAAACAUUUCAUUUUCAAUGAAAAAAUAAAAGAUCUUUUUAUAAAUA